AUGCUUUGUGCUCUGAUUUUCACUAAAUGCAAUAAGGAUUUUAUUCAACAAUUUUCUGAUUUUCUCUCUGAUCUGGUGACUCGGGCUGAUAGACUAUUGAUUCUUGGGGAUUUUAACAUUCAUCUCUGCUGCCCUUCUAGAACGUUGGUCAAAGAAUUUGUAAAUAUUUUAGAGUCUUUGAACUUUGUACAAUCUGUAUGUGGUCCAACUCACAAUUUGGGUCACACACUAGAUUUGGUAAUGUCUCGUGGGGUUUUUAUUUCAAAUCUGGAGGUUAUUGAUGCAUGUGUGUCUGACCAUUAUCUUAUUACGUUUGAAUCGGAGUGCUUUCUCCCGUCUUCUAUUUGCCCUCAGCCUUCAUGUCUCUCUCGAGCUAUUCACUCAAAUACUGCAAAUUUGUUUUCUGAACAUUUUUCUUCACAUUUUAAUAAUGAUUUUCUGAACGAAUCAGAUACUGAAUGCUUGACUGAGAUAUUUUAUAAAGCAUCCUCUUUAUCUAUGGACACUGUUGCUCCGCUUAAGCGUAAAAAGAUGAAGGUUGCUGGCCAGCCAUGGUUAAAUGAUGUCACCCGAGCUUUCAGACAAGAGUGUCGAAAAGCAGAGCGAAAGUGGAAAAAAGAUAGGCUACAGGUUUCAUUUGACAUUUUAAAAUCAAGUCUUUUCAACUAUCAAACGGCAGUAAAAAAGGCAAAAUCAAACUUCUUUUCUCAAUUAAUUUCUGACAACGCUAAGCGUCCAAAAGUCCUGUUUGAUACAAUUGACUCUAUUCUAAAUCCGACCACAAAUAUUUUAUCUGAGGCCUCUAUUGAGCUUUGUGAAGAUUUUUUAAAACAUUUCACUCAAAAAAUUUAUGAUAUUAGAAGCUCUAUUGUUCCAUCCGAACCAUGCCACUUGCAAUUGCCUUGUCCUAUGAGUUGUCUGUCUAACUUUAAACCUGUCUCUCCUACUCAGCUAGCUGAUAUAAUCUCUACUAUGAAGUGUUCUGGUUCUAAGCUAGAUAUUAUCCCAACUCGUCUUUUUAAGGAUGUUUUUUCUACCAUUAGUCAUAUGGUAACUGCUAUCAUAAACAGUUCUUUAGCCAAAGGUGUCGUUCCAGCUAGUUUUAAACAUGCAAUUAUACAACCUAUGUUGAAAAAACCUCAACUUGAUCCAGAAAUGUGCAGUAACUAUCGACCGAUCUCUAAACUGCCUUUCAUCUCUAAGCUUUGA
Long non-coding RNA from Cyprinus carpio (common carp), 1209 nucleotides. NCBI's taxonomy places the organism in Eukaryota, Metazoa, Chordata, Actinopteri, Cypriniformes, Cyprinidae. The record is from Ensembl.